CAUGAAGGCUACACUGCAAGUUUUCUAUAAAAAUAGUUAGUUUAUUUAAUUAUUGUUAAAUUAUCAUUUAACUACUAUUAUUUUAAAACUAUUUAGGGGUUGUCCGCUCAAUGUAUUUCGCCAUGACGUGACCACUAACCGUCGAAAAGAAUCAUCACGUCCAUUGGCUGCUGCCGCCUAUUUAUGUUAGAUACGAUAGUUGCAUAGUGAAUGUAGGUAAUGCGAAAAGCGAAAAUUAAUCACACUUUUUUCUUAAUCUUGCAUUACCAGCAGUGACAACGGGAGAAUGUGUACCUGUACUGAUUGUAUGACCUCUAACGUACAAGGAGUCUGAAGCUAGAAGGGUAUACACGAGGAGGUGGAAAUAUUUGACGAUGAAAACAAUCCCGAGUAGUGAUGUCCACUUUGCUUCUUUUUCUUGGACAGACUUGAGAAUUUCAUGCCAGGGCCUGGGUCACGACUGACCUUUGCCUUGGCAGACAACGCUGGAUAGGAUCUGUGCCUGAGGAUGGGAUAUAAUUGACAUGGUCCACUGCUUGAGGGUUUGCUAGUUGGACUGGUAUACCAUGACAGGCAGAAAUCAUUUGGGUUACAAAUAUAGACAGCCUGCAAAGGACGUGUCUGACAUUAAAAUUAGAAUUCAUGAGGUUGGUUUAUGAAUGUAGAUCAUUGUCAUCAUAUAGAAAGUUUAAUUGAAUUGUCAUUUUGUCAUUGACAGUGAGUGAUUCGUGUUGGUUGUAGUGCUGGCCACACAGCGUGACGGUGAUCUGGAUGCUGGAGACACUGGUACAGGACAAGUAUUGCAUGUUCACAUCUAAAGGAUAUAUAGCAUGAUGCCCUUUGACCUUGUAUACUGCAUGCAGCAUGAUUUCUUCUGUUUCUGGGUGGGGAAUUCAUCAUGCCAGCACCACUUGACCUCAGCACAUGUGAGCUUGUGUGGAACAGAUGGGACCAGGCAAGGGUUUGGGUCACAGCUGUGCUGGAGGCACUGCCCCCUGCUGAAGUAUCCUUGAGUCUCUUUAAAAAGCCCUCUACUGAGGAAGGGCCAUGAAGUGCCAGCUUUCAUAUAAUAAAACACUGUGUCCAGAGUGCUGUCUCAUGCAUUUCAGGAUGUCAAAAGUCAGAAUUAGCCUUUCUGACAUACAUUUUUGGACCGUAAUUUUACGUCUUCUGUGCCAGACUUGGGGGAACAUCUGAUAUAAAUACAUCUGUGUAUUUAAAUAUGUUAAAUGGAGCUGAAAGUAUUAUAUUAUUUAUAGCAGAAUACAGCUCUUUUCACUACAAUGAAAGUGAAUGAUGACAAUGUCAAAUUUUUAAAGCAAUAUUUUUUGGUGAAUAACAGCUUAAAGUAACUAUGGUUUCAGAAGACUUCAUAUAUAACAUAAGUCAGAUGGACUAUAUUUUACAAUUCUUUUAUGGUGCUUUUUUGUCCUUUUUGGAGCUUGACAGCCAUUGGUGCCCAAGAUAGCAGCUGAACAUCUGCUGAAAAUCUCCUUUUGUGUCCCAAGGAAGAAUGAAAGUCAUACAGAGUUGGAGAGAUCUCUUUAAUGUCUUCUGAUAUUACAAAAUGUGCCAUGUAAAUUCUGCUAUGUACUAGCUGACACAUACUGUAAAGGCUUGAAUAAAGUAUCUUGAAUCCAGUCAGGUUUUUGAUUCAAUUACAGCUAAAGGCGGCCUGCUGUGUGAUUGAAUCAACUUCACAUCUCUACCAUAAAUCUUCAAACAUCAAAAAGAAGAAAUCUGACUACAUUCUCACCCUCAGUUGCUGGUCUCGCGUCAUGCAAUUAAGCUCACCUUCUUCUGCAGCAAUUAUCUUGAUUGUGUAUAUAAAGAUUCUGUCAAAUUCUGGUGCUUCCGCCAAAUGUUACGUAAUAGACUUUUGAGACAAUUUGCGUUGCACAAAGCUUUAAACAUUAAUUUGAAAAAUCAGAGCAGUCUCUGUUUGUUUUUCCCUCUGAUCUCUGUGGACUAGUUUCCAGAAUGGUUUGGUUCAGCUAAUUAGUAAUGGUAGAGAGAGAGAGAGAGAGAGAGAGAGAGAGAGAGAGAGAUUAAGGGGGAAAUAUGAAUCGUUAUAGCAUCUUUGUUCAUCAACUUAUUUGUAUAAGGUGUCCAUAAUUGGUUAUGAGAAAGUGCAGUAAUUGCAUUUUGAAAUUGUUUUCUCUUUGU
Megalobrama amblycephala (Wuchang bream) is the source of this 2166-nucleotide long non-coding RNA. RefSeq lists it as uncharacterized. The transcript has 4 exons. NCBI's taxonomy places the organism in Eukaryota, Metazoa, Chordata, Actinopteri, Cypriniformes, Xenocyprididae. The record is from RefSeq and is a predicted model, not a curated record.